This 326-nucleotide unclassified non-coding RNA is filed under the name soil metagenome. Its description in RNAcentral is "partial contains 5.8S ribosomal RNA, internal transcribed spacer 2, and large subunit ribosomal RNA". The stretch from base 1 to 120 matches the Rfam family "5.8S ribosomal RNA", at positions 35 to 154 of the family's 154-position model. The record is from RNAcentral.
GAUGAAGAACGCAGCGAAAUGCGAUAAGUAAUGUGAAUUGCAGAAUUCAGUGAAUCAUCGAAUCUUUGAACGCACAUUGCGCCCCCUGGUAUUCCGGGGGGCAUGCCUGUUCGAGCGUCAUUUCACCACUCAAGCCUCGCUUGGUAUUGGGCAACGCGGUCCGCCGCGUGCCUCAAAUCGACCGGCUGGGUCUUCUGUCCCCUAAGCGUUGUGGAAACUAUUCGCUAAAGGGUGCUCGGGAGGCUACGCCGUAAAACAAACCCAUUUCUAAGGUUGACCUCGGAUCAGGUAGGGAUACCCGCUGAACUUAAGCAUAUCGCGGAGGA